Molecule: non-coding RNA, 217 nt
Organism: Lolium perenne
Lineage: Eukaryota; Viridiplantae; Streptophyta; Magnoliopsida; Poales; Poaceae
Source: RefSeq, a predicted model, not a curated record
AAAUGCUCAUGUGCAAAAUUUACUCUGUUUCGCAUUGCACUAUCAUCAUUGUCACUCCAUGAGUAUUAGUUGAGGAAAGUGGGGUUUGGAACUCUAGCAGAGCAACUGAAGAAAAGUGGUGUUUCAGCUUUAGUUGUAUUCUACAAGAGUUUGGGUGGGUAAAUUUGGCUUUCCUUUCUUGUCCCUGUGAAGCCCCUUCGAUGCCACGUCUUCCAUU